RNAcentral lists this ribosomal RNA (467 nucleotides) under uncultured bacterium. RNAcentral describes it as "partial 16S ribosomal RNA". It matches the Rfam family "Bacterial small subunit ribosomal RNA", at positions 29 to 507 of the family's 1533-position model. The record is from RNAcentral.
ACGCACGCUGGCGGCGUGCUUAACACAUGCAAGUCGAACGGAAAGGCCCUGCUUUUGUGGGGUGCUCGAGUGGCGAACGGGUGAGUAACACGUGAGUAACCUGCCCUUGACUUUGGGAUAACUUCAGGAAACUGGGGCUAAUACCGGAUAGGAGCUCCUGCUGCAUGGUGGGGGUUGGAAAGUUUCGGCGGUUGGGGAUGGACUCGCGGCUUAUCAGCUUGCUGGUGGGGUAGUGGCUUACCAAGGCUUUGACGGGUAGCCGGCCUGAGAGGGUGACCGGCCACAUUGGGACUGAGAUACGGCCCAGACUCCUACGGGAGGCAGCAGUGGGGAAUAUUGCACAAUGGGCGGAAGCCUGAUGCAGCAACGCCGCGUGCGGGAUGACGGCCUUCGGGUUGUAAACCGCUUUCGCCUGUGACGAAGCGUGAGUGACGGUAAUGGGUAAAGAAGCACCGGCUAACUACGUG